UUGUCCUUGAAAUAUCUAAAUUAGCAUCCAUAUGGAAGCUCCUUCAUCCCAAUAUCUUCAUGCAAAGCUACAUAUUUACGUAAUCAUUUAUUUUGUUCCUAAUAUGUUUUUGUAAAAAACUAUGGGUAGAAUCCUGUUGAAGAAAAAAUUGAAUGGUAGUCUCAAAGAAAGAGUAGUGGGAUAGAUAAUUGUUGGUCAUCAAUUUAUGU
This 209-nucleotide long non-coding RNA is filed under the name Elaeis guineensis (African oil palm). RNAcentral's name for it is "long non-coding RNA (EGUI_LNC020927)". Lineage: Eukaryota; Viridiplantae; Streptophyta; Magnoliopsida; Arecales; Arecaceae. The record is from RNAcentral.